AGAGUGAACGCUGGCGGCAGGCCUAACACAUGCAAGUCGAACGGCAGCGCAGAGGAGCUUGCUCCUUGGGUGGCGAGUGGCGGACGGGUGAGGAAUACAUACGGAAUCUGCCCGAUCGUGGGGGAUAACGUAGGGAAACUUACGCUAAUACCGCAUACGACCUUAGGGUGAAAGCGUGGGACCGCAAGGCCACGCGCGAUUGGAUGAGCCGAUGUCGGAUUAGCUUGUUGGCGGGGUAAAGCCCACAAGGCGACGAUCCGUAGCUGGUCUGAGAGGAUGAUCAGCCACACUGGAACUGAGACACGGUCCAG
This 311-nucleotide ribosomal RNA is filed under the name uncultured soil bacterium. Its description in RNAcentral is "bacterial SSU rRNA". It matches the Rfam family "Bacterial small subunit ribosomal RNA", at positions 26 to 334 of the family's 1533-position model. The record is from RNAcentral.